AUACUCUGAUUCUUCUUCAUAUUGUAUGAAUAUUUGGCCUUUUACUAAAGAUUUCCAAAGAGGGAAAUAACUUUCAGUCUUACUUUAAUUGUUUGAGGCCUUGCUUUGACAGGAAU
Ictidomys tridecemlineatus (thirteen-lined ground squirrel) is the source of this 116-nucleotide small nuclear RNA. Its record names the gene U5. It matches the Rfam family "U5 spliceosomal RNA". From Rfam's summary of the family: U5 RNA is a component of both types of known spliceosome. The precise function of this molecule is unknown, though it is known that the 5' loop is required for splice site selection and p220 binding, and that both the 3' stem-loop and the Sm site are important for Sm protein binding and cap methylation. The record is from Ensembl. Lineage: Eukaryota; Metazoa; Chordata; Mammalia; Rodentia; Sciuridae.